This 2830-nucleotide long non-coding RNA is filed under the name Sus scrofa (pig). RNAcentral describes it as "lncRNA (ENSSSCG00055002207.1)". Lineage: Eukaryota; Metazoa; Chordata; Mammalia; Artiodactyla; Suidae. The record is from RNAcentral.
UUUUUUCAUCAACCUUAAAUACCAAAAUUAUAUUAUGGUUUCAACUUGCUCAAAUUUAGCAUGAUACGCUAUUUAAAUAGUUAGACACAGUUGCUUCCAAUCAUCUGAAAAAUAGUAAAAAUGAAACCUUUAUCCUAAGGGUAUAAUAAAAAUAUAAAAGUAGUAAUCAUUAAAGUGCAAACAGUGGACUACAAAGAAAAAUACAAAUGUUAAAAAUCAUAAGAAAUUGUGCUCAAAAGGAGUCAGUCAUCUAGAAGGCAGUUAUAGUGGCAGAUUCGGGACCAGGCGCAGAAAGGACACACUGAGAUAUAGUGUGGUUCUGCCUCAUUUCUCAGCAGAUAGAGACACAGAACAAAAGUUCACAUUCGGAGUUCCCAUUGUGGCUCAGUGGUUAACGAAUCCGACUAGGAACUGCGAGGUUGCAGGUUUGGUCCCUGGCCUCCAUCAGUGGGUUAAGGAUCUGGCAUCGCCGUGAGCUGUGGUGUAGGGACUGAACCCGCAACCUCAUGGUUCCUAGUCGGAUUCGUUAACCACUGCGCCACGACGGGAACUCCUGUUUAUUCUUAAUUAUAUCUGUAUCUAUCGUAUUAUUUUUCAGAUGCUUGAAAUGUAUCACAUGUGUAUUUUUAAGUUUUAUUUAAUAAAACUUUUACCUAAUAAACCAGUACUUUCAAGAGUUGUAAAUGACCUUCAAAGAAAAUUUUCCUGUAUUUAUCAUGAGUGCUAUAAGAAACACAGAAAAAAAACGUAUUUUCAGUGAAUGUAAACUAGCAAACACACCUUGCUCUGCAGUGCGCCAGUGCUGUCAUGCUUUUACAUUUUAAAUCCCCACCAUUUGAUUACGUCUGAACUUGCUAAAGGUGAUGCAGUGACAGUUGAGAGUCCUAAUUGGUCAAUGAAAGGGAGUUCCUAUUUUGCAGAAAGGAUCCGAGCUCCCUGCUCCGGCUGCACAAAUGCUGACUGCCCGGGACAACCCUUCGCUGAGGCUCUCAGCAAGGCUCCCCAGAGAGUGAAUGAUGGGUAAAUGUUACUCCCGCAUUCAAGCCUCAUCUCCAACCUCAGCAUAACCCAUCCACGUGUUUCAGGGAAGAUGAUCAUUUCUAUUUCUUGAAUAAUUAAUGUAAGACUUCAGCUUACAAAACAAUCUGACAAAGGGCAGGUCAAUAUGGUGGGAAGGUGACAUAUAUGAGCAAAUUCCACAUUUCUAAAGUCACAGCCUAAAAAUAAGAAUUUUUUUGGAGCAGAUUUUCAAAUUUCACAGGCUCUGUUCUCUUUCCUUUCCCUUUCUGGGCAUCUCAGGAAGGAAUGAGUGUUACAGGAGAGGGUGGCUGAGAAAGAAUUGCCAUGCGCAGGACCUGAUCCUUCUCGACAGUCUGUCCUCAGACUGGCCUCUGGGCAUAUAUUCUCUUCGACACCACAGUGGUGCAUGGAACCUUGAACCUAUUACUUUUGAUCUCACCAUGACACUGCCCCAAAGGGGUCAACUGCACUUCCAUACAACUACGAGAGGCUGUGCAAAGCACACAAUUCAAUGUAAAACACGGCAGAACAGUUUCUAGGAUUCACAGGAUACAUAUGACGAUGAAAGGUCUAUGCACGGUAAACAUGAAAAUGGAGCUGAAAAUUAAAACGGCAUUUUCAUCAUACUUGCCAUUUAAUGAAAUUCUCAGGUGUGUCACAGGAACUGCUGAAAAUGUAUGUCCGGCAACUUAAAUGAUCACUGUGUUGGUAACAGUCACACAAGAGAAACUGCCAACUGACUGCUGUUAGUACAGCUACGCAGGAGAACUACAACUAGAAAAUCUAUAGUUUGCAUCCUAGUUUUUAUUUUGGCAUAUAAUUUAUAUGAGGACAUAAGCAUCUCAUUAAAUGUCAUUUUGCCUCCAUUCUCCUCCUGGGCACAAUACUUCAAUACGUCUUUUUUAAUGGAAAGAUACUCCUGUUCAAAUAAAUGGCCUCAAUAAAGUUACUAACAUGUAAAUAUAGAAAAGAGCAUUAGAAACAUACAGCUAGAGAAUAAAAAGUUUGAUUUGUUGCUUAAAAAUGUCCAUUGAAAAUGUGAGUGGGAAUUAGAUAAAUUCAUCAAGAAAUUCACCUGUAUAGAUAGAUGGCUAACAGAUGCUCCUAUCGAAAAGAAGAACCCCCCACAAUUCUAAGCAUCCUAUAGAUUCUGGCACUGCACAAUAUCCAUAAAGAAAAACCAUCUGGGAUUUGGAAGUUUCUUCUUUAAAGUACUCAGGAGCACUACAACAUAAUGGCUUUUUAAUGAGGAAGCAUGUACAUUUUUAUGUAAAUAUAACUCCAUAGAAGUAUUAAAUACAAAAAAUAUUUUCUAUUUUUACAUAAUAGUCUUGAAAUCUACAGAAAUGUAUCCCAAGUUAGUCCUUAUUUUUUUAGGAACUAUUUACUAAGAAGCUACUAUAUAUUUAUCACCUAUUAUUUUAGGUCUUACAGAUAUAUGAUUACCUGUUCUUUGUUUUCUAUUGAGGGUUUCUUUUCAUAUAUAUGAGUGUAAAGAUACAACUAGUUUUCUGUAAAAUCUACUGAGUAGGAAAUGAUGCCUCCAAUGAGGUCGGAAAAAAAAAGCGGUGAGGCCUAAACCAGAACUUUCCUAUGGCCCAUUGUCAUAAGCUUAAUUGACAAACAGCCAGAACACAUCUAAAAGGGCAAACAAGGAGUUCCCGUCGUGGUGCAGCGGAAAUGAUCCCUGGCCUCGCUCAGUGGGUUAAAGAUCUGGCAUUGCCAUGACCUGUGGUGUAGGUUGCAGACGUGGCUGGAAUCCUAUGUUGCUGUGGCUGUGGUGUAGGCUGGCAGCUGUAGCUCCGAUUCA